Tribolium castaneum (red flour beetle) is the source of this 1117-nucleotide long non-coding RNA. RefSeq lists it as uncharacterized. The transcript has 2 exons. The record is from RefSeq and is a predicted model, not a curated record. NCBI's taxonomy places the organism in Eukaryota, Metazoa, Arthropoda, Insecta, Coleoptera, Tenebrionidae.
AUUGUCGGAACAUCCGAUUGAUAGAAUGAUAAGGAGCAGAUGGAAAAGUAGAUAAUCGCACGAGACGGAUUAAAAUAUUUUUCAAGUCCUGCUUUCUUAAGUCAUAUUUCAUGUGGGAACAUUUGAGGAGAUAAUUUUUCUUUCUUAUUAAAAAUAAAUCGGAUUUAAUAAAUAAAUUACUAUUAGCUGUCCGCACUUGUUUUUGCGAAAGAAGCACAAAAUUUGUAAUCGCUGCCGGAAGGCCUGCUUGUGAGAUACCUAAAUAGAUAAAUGGAAUGAAAAUGCAAAUAUAGGAGAAACCGGUAUUAAUCAAGAAGACACGUUGGAGACCGGAAACUUCAAAUGCAAUUAACACCAGCUCACAUAGAAUUCCAAAAAGUGCAUAACUUUGUGGAAGUGGGUUUUGGGUUUUCAACAAUAGUUUUCUUUUAUUUUAUUUCCCGAUGGCGUUUAUUUUCCGGCCGUGUUUAUUUAUCUAGUGUAAUGUAAUUGUUGUACCUAUGACAGAUGCCAAACAUAAACCGCGUCCGAGCAAACAAAGUCCAAGUUCAGUGCCCCCAAACAUCGAUAAAAUUUCGAAAACCGGGAAAGAAAAAACAUUCCAACGUCGUCAAAUCACUCACGUAAAUACCAUGUUGUAGGUGAUAUUUACAUUUGACAGUGUACAAAUUUACAUUAAUCUUUUAUGGUGUGGGUGCAAUCUGGUCGCGGAAUUUAUGUCUUAAAACAAAGAUUUUGGAAUUCGUUGGCUCGUUUCGUAAUCUAAUGGCAAAUAUUUGUGUCUCAGCUCGUAUACAUCAAGCUAGAUUACGUUAAUUGGGACAUUUUCCGGGACGCACCUGGAGGGCGGUGGGUGGAGGUUUUCGGGGGCGGUCGUUGAUCAUCUUAAUGGGAGAUUUAUCAAGUGGAAUGCUAGGAGGAGGAUUUGGCGGCGGUUCUAUGGAAGUAAAUCUUGUCAGGAAUAAGUAAAUCAUCGGAUUUUUACGGUUUCUGGGUUUUUUGCUUGUCGGGUUCGUGGUUGUCGACAUUUUCAAUGGAGCUCAUUGUACGUUACAUAAAUAAUUCAUAAAAUGGGACUGGAACGGGUGUAAAUAUAAUUAGAGUAUUUUUAUCAACA